AUGAGAAACAGUUCCCAUCGAAGGAUUCGAAGCUCCGCAAUGACUCGAUAGUGUAUACUGAGGCUGCUCCGAGAAGAGAACAUUGGGGUGGAUACCAGAAAUUAUAUAACAUCCUUAUUUUUUUUAUAAGAAUAGCUGAACGGUGUAUAAUGGUCUUCCAAGAAAGCUUGUUGGUGACCUAGGUUUGUAAGAAAUUAUUAGCUGUGCUAGAAACUUGAUUGAAAACAUGGG
This 231-nucleotide unclassified non-coding RNA is filed under the name Hevea brasiliensis (rubber tree). The record is from RNAcentral. Lineage: Eukaryota; Viridiplantae; Streptophyta; Magnoliopsida; Malpighiales; Euphorbiaceae.